UGGGGAAUAUUGCACAAUGGAGGGAACUCUGAUGCAGCGACGCCGCGUGAACGAAGAAGGCUUUCGAGUCGUAAAGUUCUUUUAUAUGGGAAGAUAAUGACGGUACCAUAAGAAAAAGCCCCGGCUAACUACGUGCCAGCAGCCGCGGUAAUACGUAGGGGGCUAGCGUUGUCCGGAAUCACUGGGCGUAAAGGGUUCGCAGGCGGAAAUGCAAGUCAGGUGUAAAAGGCAGUAGCUUAACUACUGUAAGCAUUUGAAACUGCAUAUCUUGAGAAGAGUAGAGGUAAGUGGAAUUUUUAGUGUAGCGGUGAAAUACGUAGAUAUUAAAAAGAAUACCGGUGGCGAAGGCGGCUUACUGGGCUCAUUCUGACGCUGAGGAACGAAAGCGUGGGUAGCAAACAGG
Molecule: ribosomal RNA, 403 nt
Filed under: bacterium
Lineage: Bacteria
Description: partial 16S ribosomal RNA
Rfam family: Bacterial small subunit ribosomal RNA
Source: RNAcentral